Molecule: ribosomal RNA, 397 nt
Filed under: uncultured bacterium
Lineage: Bacteria
Description: partial 16S ribosomal RNA
Rfam family: Bacterial small subunit ribosomal RNA
Source: RNAcentral
AUACGUAGGGGGCGAGCGUUGUCCGGAAUGAUUGGGCGUAAAGGGCGCGUAGGCGGCGCGGUAAGUCUGGAGUGAAAGUCCUGCUUUCAAGGUGGGAAUUGCUUUGGAUACUGCCGCGCUUGAGUGCAGGAGAGGUUAUCGGAAUUCCCGGUGUAGCGGUGAAAUGCGUAGAGAUCGGGAGGAACACCAGUGGCGAAGGCGGGUAACUGGACUGCAACUGACGCUGAGGCGCGAAAGUGUGGGGAGCAAACAGGAUUAGAUACCCCGGUAGUCCACACUGUAAACGAUGAAUGCUAGGUGUAAGAGGUAUCGACCCCUUUUGUGCCGGAGUCAACACAAUAAGCAUUCCGCCUGGGGAGUACGGCCGCAAGGUUGAAACUCAAAUGAAUUGACGGGG